GACGAACGCUGGCGGCGUGCUUAAUACAUGCAAGUUGAGCGAUGAAGAUUGGUGCUUGCGCCAGUUUGGAGAGCAGCGGACGGGUGAGUAACGCGUGGGGAAUCUGCCUUUGAGCGGGGGACAACAUUUGGAAACGAAUGCUAAUACCGCAUAACAACUUUAAACAUAAGUUUUAAGUUUGAAAGAUGCAAUUGCAUCACUCAAAGAUGAUCCCGCGUUGUAUUAGCUAGUUGGUGAGGUAAAGGCUCACCAAGGCGAUGAUACAUAGCCGACCUGAGAGGGUGGGCAGCCACAUUGGGACGGAGACAGGGCCCAAAGGCAUACAGGAGGCAGCAGGAGGGAAUCUUCGGCAAUGGACGAAAGACUGAGCGAGCAACGCCGAGGGAGUGAAGAAGGAUGUCGGGUCGUAAAACUCUGUUGGUAGGGAAGAACGUUGGUGAGGGUGGAAAGAACAUCAAGUGACGGUAACUACACAGAAAGGGACGGCUAACUACGUG
RNAcentral lists this ribosomal RNA (497 nucleotides) under uncultured bacterium. Its description in RNAcentral is "partial 16S ribosomal RNA". It matches the Rfam family "Bacterial small subunit ribosomal RNA", at positions 28 to 507 of the family's 1533-position model. The record is from RNAcentral.